Long non-coding RNA from Podarcis raffonei (Aeolian wall lizard), 303 nucleotides. RefSeq lists it as uncharacterized. The record is from RefSeq and is a predicted model, not a curated record. NCBI's taxonomy places the organism in Eukaryota, Metazoa, Chordata, Lepidosauria, Squamata, Lacertidae. The transcript has 2 exons.
AAUUUGCAGUGUCGCAUUUAACUUGCCUUAAAAGGUGGAGAGAGAAAUCUAGUAUUUGCACUUAGCAAAAAAUGAAAAGGGGGGCGGGGAAAAGAGCAAACCCUAUUGAGGGAAAAUUGUGCAUGUCCUGCAACUUUGUAUAACAAUUGCUUUAAAAACGAAUAAGUGGUUUAUUAAUAAAGAAAGGAAAAAAGAAUAUUUUUUCUUUACCUUCUGGUAGGAAACAAUUCUAAUAUUCUGUGUGUAAAAAGUCUCUGUAUUAUAUUGUAAUUUGAAUUUUUUGUAAUUAAGACAACAACCUUG